Molecule: ribosomal RNA, 733 nt
Filed under: uncultured bacterium
Lineage: Bacteria
Description: bacterial SSU rRNA
Rfam family: Bacterial small subunit ribosomal RNA
Source: RNAcentral
CCCUUAGAGUUUGAUCCUGGCUCAGAAUCAACGCUGGCGGCGUGCCUAACACAUGCAAGUCGAACGCGAAAGCCCCGCAAGGGGUAAGUAGAGUGGCAAACGGGUGAGUAACACGUGGGUGACCUGCCUUCGAGUGGGGGAUAACGUCCCGAAAGGGACGCUAAUACCGCAUAACAUCCUGCCUUUUAAGAGGUGGACAUCAAAGCUGGGGACCGCAAGGCCUGGCGCUUGAAGAGGGGCCCGCGCCUGAUUAGCUAGUUGGUGGGGUAAUGGCUCACCAAGGCAUCGAUCAGUAUCCGGCCUGAGAGGGCGGACGGACACACUGGGACUGAGACACGGCCCAGACUCCUACGGGAGGCAGCAGUGGGGAAUUGUUCGCAAUGGGCGCAAGCCUGACGACGCAACGCCGCGUGGAGGAUGAAGACCUUCGGGUCGUAAACUCCUUUCGAUCGAGACGAAUGGUUUCCGGGUGAAUAGCCUGGAGAAGUGACGGUACCGAGAGAAGAAGCCCCGGCUAACUCCGUGCCAGCAGCCGCGGUAAUACGGGGGGGGCAAGCGUUGUUCGGAAUUACUGGGCGUAAAGGGCUCGUAGGCGGCCAACUAAGUCAGACGUGAAAUCCCUCGGCUUAACCGGGGAACUGCGUCUGAUACUGGAUGGCUUGAGUUCGGGAGAGGGAUGCGGAAUUCCAGGUGUAGCGGUGAAAUGCGUAGAUAUCUGGAGGAACACCGGUGG